GAGAGAGAGAGAGAGAGAGAGAGAGAGAGAGAGUAAUUAUUCUAGUGUGAAUGAAGGUUGGGUGAAUGUUUUGAGUCCUCAGGGAAUAAAGAAACAAAAAGGGCAUGUAAUUCAUGCCAAGAGCACAGUGACACACUUCGAUUGAAUGCCGUACCGUAAAAAAACGAACGAACUUGAGUAUUUCCUGAUUUACGCUGUGAUUGAAAUGCUUUAAUACGUCAACAAAAUGAAACAAGAACUUGGAACCUGACAAUUCACUGCAAGCGAAGACAUCAAAAAUUCAAAUUAAAAAAAGCAUCUCUGUUUGGAUGUGUCACCCGUCGUCGCUGAAGCACAUCAACACCCCGGUCCACGGUCGCCACUGAUGAAUAAAUGAAGAGAGACACUGCUGAUGUCAUCCUGAGCGACCGCAUGCAGACCAACCCCCUCCGGACCAACUAGUCUAAUUGGCCUCCUCAGAGACUCGGCCAGACCCAAGACACGAGGACAUAGUGAAACCUGACAGGGGUGUGCGCCUGACGACGCUCUUCUGCGAAACCAAGUAGGCCAGCACAACAAAAGAGGGCCAGUUCACCCAGAGUCGAUGCCGUAUGUUCACGCGGGACGCUGAACGACCUCUAUCUGCCUCACAAACGGAACGCUCCUCAAGAGGUUCCUCAAGAUACUUAUCAUACUACACGUCGAUCAACUCUAAACCAGCCAAACGAACAAAUAUACAGGUUGUUUUGGACGUAGCGCCUCGGAGUUGCACUUAAACGCCGAUGUAUAUGUAUCUAGCCAUUCUUCAGUAGCACCACGGCUCUUCUGGUGACCCUACUAAACCCACUUUUUCUCAUGAACGCCAGGGUUGUAGAUGUCAAACGAGAUCCCACCCACCGAACAUUCAAAAGCUCUGGAAUGCUUCUGCAGUCUAUUAUUAGUCCUAAAUCUAAAAUAUUAGUUCAAGACGUUCAAUGCUCUUCCUGCAGAAAGCCAACAGCAGAUAGAGCGACGCUGGCUCUUACGUAACAGAUUUGUGUUGUGACAGAUGGCCCUUGGUUAGGUGUAACAUGCACAGCACUUUGCCUUUUUUUAAACGCUUAUCUUUGAAAUUGUGUGCAUAUUAACAGAAUAUUACGAGCCAAAGGAUUUUGGGAUCAUUUAGCGCUUCUUACAAUUAAACCGUUAAAAGACAUCCAUAAAACCAUAGCGCACUAUAUUCUAAGUCACAUAAUAUUAGUUUAAAGGGGUCACUAGAAAGCAAAAACAUUCUGUGAGUUUCAUAGCUUACAGUGCCUUUCGUCACUAUAAACGAAGCAUUUAUUUAAUCAAGAUCCAAAGACGGCUCGUUUUGGAACCGAAGGGUAAGGUGACGUUCGCCUUCAAGAGCAGAACAUCAACCAAUAGUCAUCUACUCGCCAUAGGCCCCGCCCACUGGUUUUCAAUCGUCAAAGGGCCGACACUUGAUCACGCGAAACGUGGGUGUCACAUUGCGUAAAUUUGUUUUUGUACAAAAUUACAAUUACAGACCAUUUCAGAGAAAAGUUUACAAUUAGGGUCGGAAAAAGAUCUAUAUUUUAACAACGAUAUCAAGAAACACCUUAAAAUACUAAUGAAUGGAUUCACGUAAUUAUCUCUUCAAAGAACGUACAGACCUUCGGGAACCGGUUUUCACUUCGCAAACAAGUCACUUUGGUAUUUUUGCUCAGACCCCGGCGGAGCUGGUACCCGUUCACUUUCAUGGUAUGGAAAAGAGCAGCGUGAACGUUGUACCAAACGCCUCCUGUCAUGUUCGUACAUUAAAAAAAAAGUUUUUCAAAAAAAGUUUGCAAAGGAUGAAAGGGUGAGUAAACAAUUGCAGAAAACAAUAGUUAGUUUUUGAGCGCGCUGUGCCUUUAAAAGCAAGCUUUCCCACACUUUCCCGAGUUACCACUCAAGCUAGUUUGAAUUCAAAGCAUAGUUGAGACAUGACACUGCACAUGUUUAUACAGUACGUGCAUCACGGGCUCUUCCAAAGGUGUGGUGCUCGUAUCUGACACUAUUUCCAGAUAUUACAGUGUCAAAAUCGACAUUAGGCAACUCUAAAUCAUCACACACUUUGCUGCGCUUCAGGUCAACAAAGUGGUUUGACUGAAAAGCACGCUUUUUUUUAAAGUGAGGGUGCAAGGUUGAGACUUCAAGCGAAGGAAAAUAAACACAAUCCUCUUUUCUGAGUCUAGGCCUUAAGCUGGUCAGCUGACAGAUGCAUCGGGCUGAAAGUUCAUAACCUGAAGGCUUGAAAUUCCUCUCAAGUUCAUCCAGCCCGAAUGGACUUAAGAACGGCUUGUUUUAAAACGCUCGGACACGUGCACGCGUCGCCUUAAACUUUCUAUAUCAAUGCACGGGGAAGCGUGUGAUGCGGCUUUACGCGAUUGAUGUUUAUACACCAGCCGUGUCGAAACGCAAAGCGAGCGCCAGACGCGCCGAAAGGCGUCCAAUCAAACGCAAA
Puntigrus tetrazona (Sumatra barb) is the source of this 2467-nucleotide long non-coding RNA. RefSeq lists it as uncharacterized. The record is from RefSeq and is a predicted model, not a curated record. The transcript has 3 exons. Lineage: Eukaryota; Metazoa; Chordata; Actinopteri; Cypriniformes; Cyprinidae.